UGGGGAAUAUUGGACAAUGGGCGCAAGCCUGAUCCAGCAAUGCCGCGUGUGUGAAGAAGGCCUGCGGGUUGUAAAGCACUUUAAGCGGGAAAGAAGGGGCCAAGGCUAAUACCCUUGGUCAUUGACGUUACCCGCAGAAUAAGCACCGGCUAACUCCGUGCCAGCAGCCGCGGUAAUACGGAGGGUGCGAGCGUUAAUCGGAAUUACUGGGCGUAAAGCGCGCGUAGGCGGUUCGUUAAGUCAGCCGUGAAAGCCCCGGGCUUAACCUGGGAACUGCGGAUGAUACUGGCGGGCUAGAGUGUGGCAGAGGGUGGCGGAAUUUCCGGUGUAGCAGUGAAAUGCGUAGAGAUCGGAAGGAACACCAGUGGCGAAGGCGGCCAUCUGGGCCAACACUGACGCUGAGGUGCGAAAGCGUGGGGAGCAAACAGG
This 429-nucleotide ribosomal RNA is filed under the name uncultured Methylocaldum sp. RNAcentral's name for it is "bacterial SSU rRNA". It matches the Rfam family "Bacterial small subunit ribosomal RNA", at positions 355 to 776 of the family's 1533-position model. Lineage: Bacteria; Pseudomonadati; Pseudomonadota; Gammaproteobacteria; Methylococcales; Methylococcaceae. The record is from RNAcentral.